AGAGCGAACGCUGGCGGCAGGCCUAAUACAUGCAAGUCGAACGGAUCCUUCGGGAUUAGUGGCGGACGGGUGAGUAACACGUGGGGACGUACCCUUUGGUUCGGAACAACUCAGGGAAACUUGAGCUAAUACCGAAUGUGCCCUUCGGGGAAAAGAUUUAUCGCCAUUGGAGCGGCCCGCGUCUGAUUAGCUAGUUGGUAGGGUAAAGGCCUACCAAGGCUACGAUCAGUAGCUGGUCUGAGAGGAUGAUCAGCCACACUGGGACUGAGACACGGCCCAGACUCCUACGGGAGGCAGCAGUAGGGAAUCUUGCGCAAUGGGCGAAAGCCUGACGCAGCCAUGCCGCGUGAAUGAUGAAGGUCUUAGGAUUGUAAAAUUCUUUCAGCGGGGACGAUAAUGACGGUACCCGCAGAAGAACGCCCGGCUAACCUUCGCGCCAGCAGCCGC
This 447-nucleotide ribosomal RNA is filed under the name uncultured bacterium. RNAcentral describes it as "SSU rRNA". It matches the Rfam family "Bacterial small subunit ribosomal RNA", at positions 26 to 518 of the family's 1533-position model. The record is from RNAcentral.